UACAGGCGUGAGCCCCCGCGCCAGGCUUCGAAACGCAUACUCUUAAAUAUCAGUUAAGCACCUUAAAUGAAACAUGUUCAUCCCAAUACUGGAACAUGAUGUCUGUGAGGACAUGGGGCUGUACUUUGUUACUUUCUUUUAAGAGUUUUAAAAAUAAACUCAUUUUUUUUCCCCUAAACUCGCCCCUUUCUCAGUGGGAUUUUUCUCUUUUCUUUCUGUUUUUUUUCCCUCCAAGACUAAGUUUUGCUCCUCUUGCCCAGGCUGGAGUGCAGUGGUGUGAUCUUGGCUCACUGCAACCUCUGCCUCCUGGGUUCAAGCAAUUCUCCUGCCUCAGCCUCCGGAAUAGCUGGGAUUACAGGCACCCACAACCAUGGCUGGCUAAUUUUUUGUGUUUUUGGUAGAGACGUGGUUUCACCAUGUUGGCCAGGCUGGUCUCGAACUCCUGACCCCAGGUGAUCCACCCACCUUGGCCUCCCAAAGUGCUUGGAUUACAGGCAUGACCCAUCGCGCCUGGCGUUUUUGUUUUUUUUUUUUUUUUUUUUUUUUUUAGAUGGAGUCUCAUUCUGUCACCCAGGGUGGAGUGCAGGGGUGCGAUCUUGGCUCACUGCAACCUCCCACCCCUGGGUUCUAUUGAUUCUCCUGCUUCAGCCUCCCGAGUAGCUGGAAUUACAGGUGUGUGCCACCACACCUGGGUAAUUUUUGUGUUUUUUGUAGAGUGGGGUUUUGCCAUGUUGAGAAGGCUGGUCUCGAACUCCUGACCUCAGGUGAUCUGCCCACCUGGGCCUCCCAAAGUGCUGGAAUUACAGGCGUGAGCCAUUGUGCCUGGCCACCUGCAUUCUUCUCUAGCUCGGCUGUUCUACUUGUUCCUACUUGUAAUAGACUAAAUAAUGACGCUCCAAACAUGUCUACAUCCCAGUCUCCUUGUGAAUCUAUUUGUGACUAUGUUACCUCUCAUGAUAAAAGCAACUUUACAGAUAUGAUUAAAUUAAAUAUCUUGAGAUGUGAGGUUAUCCUGGAUUAUCCAGGUGAGCUCAGUGUAAUCCCACAGGUCCUUACAAGAGGGAGGCAGGAGGAUCAGAGUCACAGAGAGAGGAGAUGGUAACAUGGAAGCAUGGAAACCAAGGCUAGACGGAGACAGGAUGAUAUGCUGCUGGCUUUGACAACUGGGGAAGAGGCAAUGAGGCAGCAAUGUAGCGGCCUCUAUAGGCUGGGAAAGUCAAGGAAACGGAUUCUCCCCUAAAGCCUACAGAAGGAAUGCAGUCAUACUAACAUUUUAAUUCUAGCCCUGUGGAUUUUUUUUUUUUUUUUUUUUUAAGAUGGAGUCUUACUCUGUCACCCAGGCUGGAGUGCAGUGGCACCAUCUCGGCUCACUGCAACCUCCGCCUCCUAGGUUCAAGCGAUUCUUCUGCCUCAAUUUCCUGAGUAGCUGGGACUGCAGGCGUGAGCCACCAUGCCUGGCUAAUUUUUCUAUUUUUGGUAGAGAAGGGAUGUCACCAUAUUGGCCAGGCUGGUCUCGAACUCCUGACCUCGUGAUCUGCCUGCCUUGGCCUCCCAAAGUGUUGGGAUUACAG
This 1571-nucleotide long non-coding RNA is filed under the name Homo sapiens (human). RNAcentral's name for it is "HSALNT0389631". Lineage: Eukaryota; Metazoa; Chordata; Mammalia; Primates; Hominidae. The record is from RNAcentral.